RNAcentral lists this ribosomal RNA (253 nucleotides) under uncultured prokaryote. Its description in RNAcentral is "partial 16S ribosomal RNA". It matches the Rfam family "Bacterial small subunit ribosomal RNA", at positions 524 to 776 of the family's 1533-position model. The record is from RNAcentral.
GACAGAGGGUGCAAACGUUGUUCGGAAUUACUGGGCGUAAAGCGCGUGUAGGCGGCCCUGCAAGUCGGGUGUGAAAUCCCACGGCUCAACCGUGGAAGUGCACUCGAAACUGCAGGGCUAGAGUCCUGGAGAGGAAGGUGGAAUGCUUGGUGUAGAGGUGAAAUUCGUAGAUAUCGAGAGGAACACCUGCGGCGAAGGCGGGUUGCUGGGCUGAUACUGACGCUGAUGCGCGAAAGCCAGGGGAGCGAACGGG